GGCGAAGCCUGAUCCAGCCAUGCCGCGUGUGUGAAGAAGGCCUUUUGGUUGUAAAGCACUUUAAGCGAGGAGGAGGAGCUUCAGGUUAAUACCCUGGAUGCUUGGACGUUACUCGCAGAAUAAGCACCGGCUAACUCUGUGCCAGCAGCCGCGGUAAUACAGAGGGUGCAAGCGUUAAUCGGAUUUACUGGGCGUAAAGCGUGC
This 204-nucleotide ribosomal RNA is filed under the name uncultured bacterium. Its description in RNAcentral is "partial 16S ribosomal RNA". It matches the Rfam family "Bacterial small subunit ribosomal RNA", at positions 374 to 570 of the family's 1533-position model. The record is from RNAcentral.